GAUGAACGCUGGCGGCGUGCCUAAUACAUGCAAGUCGAGCGAACGGACGAGAAGCUUGCUUCUCUGAUGUUAGCGGCGGACGGGUGAGUAACACGUGGAUAACCUACCUAUAAGACUGGGAUAACUUCGGGAAACCGGAGCUAAUACCGGAUAAUAUUUUGAACCGCAUGGUUCAAAAGUGAAAGACGGUCUUGCUGUCACUUAUAGAUGGAUCCGCGCUGCAUUAGCUAGUUGGUAAGGUAACGGCUUACCAAGGCAACGAUGCAUAGCCGACCUGAGAGGGUGAUCGGCCACACUGGAACUGAGACACGGUCCAGACCCCUACGGGAGGCAGCAGUAGGGAAUCUUCCGCAAUGGGCGAAAGCCUGACGGAGCAACGCCGCGUGAGUGAUGAAGGUCUUCGGAUCGUAAAACUCUGUUAUUAGGGAAGAACAUAUGUGUAAGUAACUGUGCACAUCUUGACGGUACCUAAUCAGAAAGCCACGGCUAACUACGUGCCAGCAGCCGCGGUAAUACGUAGGUGGCAAGCGUUAUCCGGAAUUAUUGGGCGUAAAGCGCGCGUAGGCGGUUUUUUAAGUCUGAUGUGAAAGCCCACGGCUCAACCGUGGAGGGUCAUUGGAAACUGGAAAACUUGAGUGCAGAAGAGGAAAGUGGAAUUCCAUGUGUAGCGGUGAAAUGCGCAGAGAUAUGGAGGAACACCAGUGGCGAAGGCGACUUUCUGGUCUGUAACUGACGCUGAUGUGCGAAAGCGUGGGGAUCAAACAGGAUUAGAUACCCUGGUAGUCCACGCCGUAAACGAUGAGUGCUAAGUGUUAGGGGGUUUCCGCCCCUUAGUGCUGCAGCUAACGCAUUAAGCACUCCGCCUGGGGAGUACGACCGCAAGGUUGAAACUCAAAGGAAUUGACGGGGACCCGCACAAGCGGUGGAGCGUGUGGUUUAAUUCGAAGCAACGCGAAGAACCUUACCAAAUCUUGACAUCCUUUGACAACUCUAGAGAUAGAGCCUUCCCCUUCGGGGGACAAAGUGACAGGUGGUGCAUGGUUGUCGUCAGCUCGUGUCGUGAGAUGUUGGGUUAAGUCCCGCAACGAGCGCAACCCUUAAGCUUAGUUGCCAUCAUUAAGUUGGGCACUCUAAGUUGACUGCCGGUGACAAACCGGAGGAAGGUGGGGAUGACGUCAAAUCAUCAUGCCCCUUAUGAUUUGGGCUACACACGUGCUACAAUGGACAAUACAAAGGGCAGCGAAACCGCGAGGUCAAGCAAAUCCCAUAAAGUUGUUCUCAGUUCGGAUUGUAGUCUGCAACUCGACUACAUGAAGCUGGAAUCGCUAGUAAUCGUAGAUCAGCAUGCUACGGUGAAUACGUUCCCGGGUCU
Molecule: ribosomal RNA, 1372 nt
Filed under: uncultured bacterium
Lineage: Bacteria
Description: bacterial SSU rRNA
Rfam family: Bacterial small subunit ribosomal RNA
Source: RNAcentral